Molecule: long non-coding RNA, 177 nt
Organism: Etheostoma cragini (Arkansas darter)
Lineage: Eukaryota; Metazoa; Chordata; Actinopteri; Perciformes; Percidae
Exons: 5
Source: RefSeq, a predicted model, not a curated record
AAAGAAAACCAUGACUUGAUAAUUGAAAGCAAAACCAGUCCGUUAGCGUCCACUUAAAGUUCUGUUGUUGCCGCUGACAUCCUCAGAUUAUUAUUCUAAGUGUCUGACAACAUUAUGGAAAGGAUCCCUACAGAGAUAAACCUUUUGGUUGAAAUAAACACACAGUUCACAGAUUUA